RNAcentral lists this ribosomal RNA (497 nucleotides) under uncultured bacterium. RNAcentral's name for it is "partial 16S ribosomal RNA". It matches the Rfam family "Bacterial small subunit ribosomal RNA", at positions 28 to 507 of the family's 1533-position model. The record is from RNAcentral.
GACGAACGCUGGUGGCGUGCCUAAUACAUGCAAGUUGAGCGAUGAAGAUUGGUGCUUGCACCAAUUUGAAGAGCAGCGAACGGGUGAGUAACGCGUGGGGAAUCUGCCUUUGAGCGGGGGACAACAUUUGGAAACGAAUGCUAAUACCGCAUAACAACUUUAAACAUAAGUUUUAAGUUUGAAAGAUGCAAUUGCAUCACUCAAAGAUGAUCCCGCGUUGUAUUAGCUAGUUGGUGAGGUAAAGGCUCACCAAGGCGAGGAUACAUAGCCGACCUGAGAGGGUGAUCGGCCACAUUGGGACUGAGACACGGCCCAAACUCCUACGGGAGGCAGCAGUAGGGAAUCUUCGGCAAUGGACGAAAGUCUGACCGAGCAACGCCGCGUGAGUGAAGAAGGUUUUCGGAUCGUAAAACUCUGUUGGUAGAGAAGAACGUUGGUGAGAGUGGAAAGCUCAUCAAGUGACGGUAACUACCCAGAAAGGGACGGCUAACUACGUG